Long non-coding RNA from Gracilinanus agilis (Agile Gracile Mouse Opossum), 525 nucleotides. RefSeq lists it as uncharacterized. The transcript is spliced from 3 exons. NCBI's taxonomy places the organism in Eukaryota, Metazoa, Chordata, Mammalia, Didelphimorphia, Didelphidae. The record is from RefSeq and is a predicted model, not a curated record.
GAAGACAAGUGCCUACGCUGCGGAGGUGAUGGCCAGACCUGCUACCCAGUCAAAGGCACUUUCGAUGCCAAUGACCUCACCAAAGGUUACAACCAAAUUUUGAUCAUUCCCGCAGGAGCUACCAGCAUCCAUAUUGCAGAAGUUACAGCCAGCAGGAAUUUCCUGGCAGUGAAGAAUGUUCGGGGGGAGUAUUACCUGAAUGGCCACUGGACUAUUGAGUUUGGCCGGGCCUUGCCAGUGGCCAGCACUAUCCUUCAGUAUGAACGAGGCUCUGAGGGGGACCUGGCCCCUGAACACCUUCAUGCCCGGGGACCUACCUCUGAGCCCCUGGUCAUCGAGGUGAGUGGAGCCUGUCUCUGUUCUCUACUUCCUCCCAUUGAAACAAGGAUAAUACUGGCCAUCAAGGCAGCUAAAGCAGGUACGGUGAGGCCCCGAGAGCUUGGUCAGACAUAGAAGAUGCUAAGUUCAUUCACUGAAUUCUGGGCCAUCGCCAGUUGACCUGACUUUUGUCUUGUCUCUGGACUU